RNAcentral lists this ribosomal RNA (380 nucleotides) under uncultured Acidovorax sp. Its description in RNAcentral is "bacterial SSU rRNA". It matches the Rfam family "Bacterial small subunit ribosomal RNA", at positions 1002 to 1382 of the family's 1533-position model. Lineage: Bacteria; Pseudomonadati; Pseudomonadota; Betaproteobacteria; Burkholderiales; Comamonadaceae. The record is from RNAcentral.
AGAGAUAGAGGAGUGCUCGAAAGAGAGCCGUAGCACAGGUGCUGCAUGGCUGUCGUCAGCUCGUGUCGUGAGAUGUUGGGUUAAGUCCCGCAACGAGCGCAACCCUUGUCAUUAGUUGCUACAUUCAGUUGGGCACUCUAAUGAGACUGCCGGUGACAAACCGGAGGAAGGUGGGGAUGACGUCAAGUCCUCAUGGCCCUUAUAGGUGGGGCUACACACGUCAUACAAUGGAUGGUACAAAGGGUCGCCAACCCGCGAGGGGGAGCCAAUCCCAUAAAGCCAUUCGUAGUCCGGAUCGCAGUCUGCAACUCGACUGCGUGAAGUCGGAAUCGCUAGUAAUCGUGGAUCAGAAUGUCACGGUGAAUACGUUCCCGGGUCUU